Molecule: long non-coding RNA, 1603 nt
Filed under: Rosa chinensis
Lineage: Eukaryota; Viridiplantae; Streptophyta; Magnoliopsida; Rosales; Rosaceae
Description: sRNA RchiOBHm_Chr7g0226511
Source: RNAcentral
UUAGAAUUUCCAAAAAUAGGAACUGCAGCUGCAGUUCGUCCUCCCGAGCCCAGAUUUCGGCCUCUCUCUUCCACCGGCCAUAUCUCCCUCCACAGACCUCCGAUCGACUUGAUUCCAAAAGUAAUUUCAUUCGCCUUGAAGUCAGUUAAAACUUCCUAGAAGACAUCAAAGUGAGAAAAGAACCGUGGAAGGCGCUAGGAGGCCGAGAAGCUGCACAGCUCGAGCUGGAAUUCGCCGAUGCUGCUCUUCCUUCACCUGCCGAUAUCUCUCUCAUCCGACCUCGAAUCGAGUUGAUUCCAAAAGGGAUUUUGCUGGGCUUGAGCUAUAUUACAAUUUUGUAGAAGACAUUGAGGGGCAAUAACCAACGUGGUAGCCGCUACAAGUCGAAGAACACGGUGCAGUCGAGUUAGAAAUCACCUCUUUUCCCUACCAUCGUUCUCCCUCCUCCGGCCACCUUUUACCGUGAUUCUUGAGGGGAUUCUGUACUUCUGAGGAUGUAGAUCAUUUCCCCUAAGGUGGAUUGCAUCGAUUUCAUCUGUGGAGAUCGAAUUGGAACUAAUUCAAAACUAGGGUUCUUCGGGUUUCAAACCUUAUGAGGUGGGUGACAGUUUGAGUUGACGAGCGUUUGGAAUAUCGUUAUAUUUGACUUUUUAGAAGACGCAGCUGGAUUAGAGGUGAGUAAACCUCACGUGGUUCAUAUUACGAACCGAGUACCUUUAAUUACUCUAUUUUCUGUGGUAAUUGUGUGAAAAUAUUUAUGGAAUAAAUAUUUGUUUUAAAUCAUAUGGACUUGAUCAACUACGGUCCAUAGGUAAGUAAAAUGAUUUCAUUAUACAAAUGAAUUUCACGGUUUUUAUACUUAAACUAUAGUUGGUAUUAGUAGUCAUUCCUGAGCGGAUGAUUACGUAUAUAUAUAUUUACGUGAAAUAUAUAUUGAUUGGCGUGUGAUUAGCAUGAUGAAAUGAUUGAGAAUUGAUUGGAUAUUAUUCAAGCUAUUAAUCUCCCAUUUAAUUGUUGAAUAAUGAAAUGUUGAUCAUGUGAUGUGAAAGCUAUUUUAUAUGGCCAAUUGUGAAUAUGUGGAAAUUAUUUUAAGAAGUAAAGAUUUAUCUUGAAAUAAUAUGUCUCUUUAUAUGGGUGUGCAUAUACAUUUAUACAAUCUAAAAUUUAUAAAGAUUGUAUGUUGUGAAUUUGAUUAUGUCUGAAAAAUAUAAUUAUGAAGCCGGGUGAUUACAACAACCCCGUGCUUAAGUGAAUUACUGGUAAAUGUGCUUCGUGGUUGUGCUUCGUGGUUAUGCUUCGUGGUUGUGCUUCGUGGUUAUGCUUCGUGGUUGUGCUUCGUGGAAGCUGUGGGCUUUAGUCCCUUCAGAUAGUGCACUAUUAUACUCUUAGGAAGUGUGCUUACUUUGAGUAUACAUACCUUAGUUGUGUCUUUGGUAUGCUGCGGCUUACCCGUACUUUGGGAAUAGUACGUCGGUCCCUAGUACGUGGAUUUGUGAUUUGUUACCAGUUAAUCUGAAAAUUCACUAAAAAGAGAAAUAUACUUAUGUGAAAUUGAUCAAAUAUCUAUCUAUGAUAUAUUUUGAAUAUGUGAAGGUGUUUGUGA